GGUGGCCUAGUGGUUAGAGCGUCCACCUCAGAUGCGGGAGGUCGUGGGUUUCGAUCUCCGGUAGAGUCA
This is a non-coding RNA of Potamilus streckersoni, 69 nucleotides long. The record is from the annotation of a GenBank genome assembly. NCBI's taxonomy places the organism in Eukaryota, Metazoa, Mollusca, Bivalvia, Unionida, Unionidae.